UCUGGGCACUGUCUCAACGAGAGACUCGGUGAAAUUAUAGUACCUGUGAAGAUGCAGGUUACCCGCGACAGGCCGGAACGCCCCCGUGGAGCUUUACUGCAACCUGAUAUGGAAUGUUUGUACCGCUUGUACAGGAUAGGUAGGAGCCGAAGAGACGUGUGCGCUAGCAUACGAGGAGGCAAUGGUGGGAUACUACCCUGGC
This 202-nucleotide ribosomal RNA is filed under the name Listeria monocytogenes. RNAcentral describes it as "partial 23S ribosomal RNA". It matches the Rfam family "Bacterial large subunit ribosomal RNA", at positions 2008 to 2209 of the family's 2925-position model. The record is from RNAcentral. Lineage: Bacteria; Bacillati; Bacillota; Bacilli; Caryophanales; Listeriaceae.